This 193-nucleotide ribosomal RNA is filed under the name Syntrophomonadaceae bacterium. RNAcentral's name for it is "partial 23S ribosomal RNA". It matches the Rfam family "Bacterial large subunit ribosomal RNA", at positions 2743 to 2925 of the family's 2925-position model. Lineage: Bacteria; Bacillati; Bacillota; Clostridia; Eubacteriales; Syntrophomonadaceae. The record is from RNAcentral.
GGGUAGCUAUGUAUGGAACGGAUAAGCGCUGAAAGCAUCUAAGCGCGAAGCCAACCUCAAGAUGAGUUCUCCCAUCCCGCACGCAAGUGACGGGGGUAAGAUCCCAUCAAGACCAGGUGGUUGAUAGGCCGGGUGUGUAAGUGCAGCGAUGCAUUCAGCUGACCGGUACUAAUAGAUCGAGGGCUUGACCUAA